GCGUGUAGGCUGGUUUUCCAGGCAAAUCCGGAAAAUCAAGGCUGAGGCGUGAUGACGAGGCACUACGGUGCUGAAGCAACAAAUGCCCUGCUUCCAGGAAAAGCCUCUAAGCAUCAGGUAACAUCAAAUCGUACCCCAAACCGACACAGGUGGUCAGGUAGAGAAUACCAAGGCGCUUGAGAGAACUCGGGUGAAGGAACUAGGCAAAAUGGUGCCGUAACUUCGGGAGAAGGCACGCUGAUAUGUAGGUGAGGUCCCUCGCGGAUGGAGCUGAAAUCAGUCGAAGAUACCAGCUGGCUGCAACUGUUUAUUAAAAACACAGCACUGUGCAAACACGAAAGUGGACGUAUACGGUGUGACGCCUGCCCGGUGCCGGAAGGUUAAUUGAUGGGGUCAGCGCAAGCGAAGCUCUUGAUCGAAGCCCCGGUAAACGGCGGCCGUAACUAUAACGGUCCUAAGGUAGCGAAAUUCCUUGUCGGGUAAGUUCCGACCUGCACGAAUGGCGUAAUGAUGGCCAGGCUGUCUCCACCCGAGACUCAGUGAAAUUGAACUCGCUGUGAAGAUGCAGUGUACCCGCGGCAAGACGGAAAGACCCCGUGAACCUUUACUAUAGCUUGACACUGAACAUUGAGCCUUGAUGUGUAGGAUAGGUGGGAGGCUUAGAAGUGUGGACGCCAGUCUGCAUGGAGCCGACCUUGAAAUACCACCCUUUAAUGUUUGAUGUUCUAACGUUGACCCGUAAUCCGGGUUGCGGACAGUGUCUGGUGGGUAGUUUGACUGGGGCGGUCUCCUCCUAAAGAGUAACGGAGGAGCACGAAGGUUGGCUAAUCCUGGUCGGACAUCAGGAGGUUAGUGCAAUGGCAUAAGCCAGCUUGACUGCGAGCGUGACGGCGCGAGCAGGUGCGAAAGCAGGUCAUAGUGAUCCGGUGGUUCUGAAUGGAAGGGCCAUCGCUCAACGGAUAAAAGGUACUCCGGGGAUAACAGGCUGAUACCGCCCAAGAGUUCAUAUCGACGGCGGUGUUUGGCACCUCGAUGUCGGCUCAUCACAUCCUGGGGCUGAAGUAGGUCCCAAGGGUAUGGCUGUUCGCCAUUUAAAGUGGUACGCGAGCUGGGUUUAGAACGUCGUGAGACAGUUCGGUCCCUAUCUGCCGUGGGCGCUGGAGAACUGAGGGGGGCUGCUCCUAGUACGAGAGGACCGGAGUGGACGCAUCACUGGUGUUCGGGUUGUCAUGCCAAUGGCACUGCCCGGUAGCUAAAUGCGGAAGAGAUAAGUGCUGAAAGCAUCUAAGCACGAAACUUGCCCCGAGAUGAGUUCUCCCUGACUCCUUGAGAGUCCUGAAGGAACGUUGAAGACGACGACGUUGAUAGGCCGGGUGUGUAAGCGCAGCGAUGCGUUGAGCUAACCGGUACUAAUGAACCGUGAGG
This 1425-nucleotide ribosomal RNA is filed under the name Escherichia coli. RNAcentral's name for it is "partial 23S ribosomal RNA". It matches the Rfam family "Bacterial large subunit ribosomal RNA", at positions 1516 to 2916 of the family's 2925-position model. The record is from RNAcentral. Lineage: Bacteria; Pseudomonadati; Pseudomonadota; Gammaproteobacteria; Enterobacterales; Enterobacteriaceae.